UUUUUUUUUUUUUUUUGGUGGUAGGAAUGAACCCACGGUUUUCUUUUUUAAAAGUCCGUUUCCUCCUUCUGAGGUCGAAAGGCGUCCCGCCGUGGCCCAGAAUCCUCUGGGCGGCGUGGCGCGUUGGGCGUAUUUCCGGUCGCCUGUGCCCGGAUCGGCAGGGCUAGGCGCGAGCUCCCGGAAACCUCUUCACCUUACGUCUGCCUUGGUGGAGGCUUCCUCCAAUGCCUAGUUUUUCCUCUGCAAAUAGUAACUAGUAGUUCUGUGGCAUCUCCUGAUUGUAGAAUAUUGCUUCGACCCCCAGGAAUUACUUUAUAAAUUGUAGCGUUUUCAUAUACCCAAAGGUUUUGGUUGAAGCUGUUACCUCCCAAUAAUAACUGGGUCUUUCCAGGUAAAUUAGGUCCUAUUUUGGCAACUCCCAAUGCAGAACAUCAAUACUCUCCAUUCUCCAUCCCAGAGGGCCAAAAGGAAAACAUCUUAUUUGAAGAUAGAAGUUUCAUUUGCUGAAGUUUGUAGCUGGUCAAGCUGAAAGCAAGAGGGAGUGGAGGUGUAGUUCAAUGGGAAGGGAACUAUGUUAUGGACCACUGUGUUUCCUUGAAAACUUGAGAGAAAUGAAUGGUUGGGGGAAAGUUCAAGGAUGAGACUACUGAGAGACUCGCAUCUGCAGCAAAAUGGAGUUUCUUCAAAUUAGACAUCAGGAGAAGCAACAGAGAAGAGCAACUGGCAACUGGAGAUGCCAGACCUGCAUCAUGGCCUGCAGACUUUCCCUGAUGACUCCUGCUCUGUUUCCCCUUUGUCCUUUAACAACAGGGGACUGAACUCCGGUCCUUGUGCUUACAAGACAGGCCACCGAACCACUGAGCUAAAUCCCCAGCCCUGUAUUAUUAAUUGAAGAAAGCAAGAGGUAGAGUAUUAAGGCCCACAGCAGAUUAUAAGCCACGGAUUCAAAGGGAGAGAGGACAGUCACCCUCUUCAGCUGACAUUUUAAUUCUGCAAUUCAUUUUGCGUGGAAACUACCUUCCUCUAUGACUGACCUCAUCCGAUCGUGCAAGAACUCUAGGGGUAAGCCAGGCCCCUAUUUAUUUAUGCUUCUACACCAAGAUGUAUACUGUACCAUUUAUGUUUAUGUUGUGUUACUGUACUGGGUAUAAUAAGAAGGACACUGAUACACAUUAGUAGUCCUGUGUACAAAUCUGAUCCCACCAUUCAUAACUGUCCCCACAAGACUGAGAAUUAUUUAAGGACAUAUGUCUUAGUUCUGUUUGAAUUUUUCCAUAACCCAUGCCCCUACUCCA
Molecule: long non-coding RNA, 1295 nt
Organism: Fukomys damarensis (Damara mole-rat)
Lineage: Eukaryota; Metazoa; Chordata; Mammalia; Rodentia; Bathyergidae
Exons: 7
Source: RefSeq, a predicted model, not a curated record